ACCGGCAGCUCAAGUGGUGGCCAUUUUUAUUGGGCCUAAAGCGUUCGUAGCCGGUUUGAUAAGUCUCUGGUGAAAUCCCGCAGCUUAACUGUGGGACUUGCUGGAGAUACUAUUAGACUUGAGGUCGGGAGAGGUUAGGGGUACUCCCAGGGUAGGGGUGAAAUGCGAUAAGCCUGGGAGGAAUACCUGUGGCGAAGGCGCCCAACCGGACCGUAAUUGACGGUGAGCAACGAAGGUGAGGGGAGCAAACAG
Molecule: ribosomal RNA, 252 nt
Filed under: uncultured prokaryote
Description: partial 16S rRNA
Rfam family: Archaeal small subunit ribosomal RNA
Source: RNAcentral